Non-coding RNA from Haemorhous mexicanus (house finch), 421 nucleotides. The record is from the annotation of a RefSeq genome assembly. Lineage: Eukaryota; Metazoa; Chordata; Aves; Passeriformes; Fringillidae.
UGACGGGAUCACACUAUGGCCUGGGCCCCUCCUCUCCUGGCAGUGCUCACCACAGCUCAGGUUCCCUGGUCCAGGCAGCAGUGACUGAGCAGCCAUCCUUGCUGUCUGCCAAGUGAGAGAGACGGGAGACACGGUCAGGAUCACCUGCUCUGGGCUUAGCAGCAGCUAUCCUUAUGCUGGCUGGUUCCAGCAGAAGGUCCCUGGCAGUGGCCCUGUCACUGUGAUCUAUACUAAUGACAAGAGACCCUCGGGCAUCCCUUCGCGAUUCUCCGGAUCCUUGCGAGUCUCCAGAUCCUUGUCCAGCUCCAUGAACACGUUAACCAUCACUGAGGUCCAAGCCAAGGACGAGGCUGUCUAUUUCUGUGGUAGUGCUGACAGCAGCAGUGGCAGCUAUGGUCUAUGGUGACAAUGAGUACCAGGA